RNAcentral lists this ribosomal RNA (164 nucleotides) under uncultured bacterium. RNAcentral's name for it is "partial 16S ribosomal RNA". It matches the Rfam family "Bacterial small subunit ribosomal RNA", at positions 355 to 511 of the family's 1533-position model. The record is from RNAcentral.
UAGGGAAUCUUCCACAAUGGACGAAAGUCUGAUGGAGCAACGCCGCGUGUGUGAUGAAGGGUUUCGGCUCGUAAAACACUGUUGUAAGAGAAGAAUGACAUUGAGAGUAACUGUUCAAUGUGUGACGGUAUCUUACCAGAAAGGAACGGCUAAAUACGUGCCUG